Molecule: long non-coding RNA, 1619 nt
Organism: Aegilops tauschii subsp. strangulata
Lineage: Eukaryota; Viridiplantae; Streptophyta; Magnoliopsida; Poales; Poaceae
Source: RefSeq, a predicted model, not a curated record
AUUAAAACCUGCUCCACUUGCUAUUAUGCAACAUUCUUCAAUUUUUGCAAACGUCUGAAAUAAGAUUACACUGAGUUUUUUUUUGACCAUGAAUUUUGGACGUACCUAACAAUGUUCGUCAUGAACUAUUUCAGCUCCGCACUUUCAUUUCAUCGUAUGAAAGAGUAGUUGUGUAUGAAAUAGUCUUCAAUCAAUUUUAUGUUUUGUUGUUCAGAAAACACGGAUAUUUUUAUUUUAUUUUGAGAAGGUUUUUUUCUUAAAUAGAAAUUCAAGAAUAAUUUGUAAGAGGGAAUCAUUUUUUUGGUGAUGAUUAUUUUUAAUAUUAUAUUUCAUUUGUAAAUAUAUUGCAAUGUUUUUUGUGCUUAUACAUCCCACAACCACAAGCUUUAAGCAGUCUACAAUCUGAAGCCCGAAACGGUAGAGCACUAAGAGCAGCCCACCCAUCAGCCGACAUCGUCCAUACUCGAGUUCACUCCACACACGACACGAAUCAGUCAGUAGGCCGAUUCCCAAUUCUCUAACCUAGCUGAUGCGUGACGGCGACGCCGGCCGACGACUCCAACCCUCAACUGGCCGGUGGGAGAAGCAGGACCCAGAUUUCAGUUUGUUACUCCCCUGCUCGGGUGCUCUUGACCUAGCUGCUGGUCAAUCCAUGAAUCGUCUGCUUCAAAAAACAUAUAUGUCUCGUCAACUUUGAUCUCUUUAUUUGAAUCUGGUUCUUAACAUUAUGUAAUGGGAAAACAGGAAAUAAUGUCGAGCUAGAUGGGGAUGGAGGUGAUGGCAAUGGAUCACGAUCUAUCUGAUUAUCUGAUUCCAGCACAAUCGAUUCAAAACAUUCAGAAAUUGGCGUAGAUGCUAAUAUAGUUGGUGACAUUGGUGAUGGCUCUAGAACACCUGAUUCAGCAAUUUUUGAUUUAUUUGAAGGUUGGUUAUCCAAAUCCUCUACAAUGUUCAAAUCAGCAAUGUCAUCUAUUUUCUGCAGAUACAACAUAAAUAAAAGGUACCAUAACCAAAGCAAAUCUGAAUCCAUGUUGAACAUGAUGCAAAAUUAUCUUCAUCUGACAAUACAGUGAUCCAUUCUAAAUUUCAUCAAACAGUAGACUGAAUUUCAUCAAAUGUGGGCCAGACGCUGCUGGAGCUGAAGCUGGCAAGAGAACGGGCACGAGCAGUAGCUGCAAGGCCAACCAGAGCACACGGGCACAAGCAGGAGCCCGCCGCGACGGCUCGCCCCGUCCCUGGACAUCAAAAUCAAUCAAAUCAUGUACAUAUAUUAUGAAUCGGCAUUAAAAGAAUAUGGUAUAAUCACUAUAUUCCAGCAUAAGGCACCAGUAUAAGCACUCAAAAACAAACAUGCAGUCAAACAACAUAGUAGAUCAGUGGGCAAACCCUGAUCCCACAGAAGACAACUCUUCAUCAUGUAGGAUCAAAUACCACUUGAUAGCUAAAACUAUAAUGAUGCCUCAUCAGAAAACUCAUCAAACCCAAUGUAUUCUGUGACAAAAAAAACCCUUACCUGGUUGACCUAUAUUUUUGUAUCAUAGCCCUCAAGUUGUCAAAGGGAAACACCAUUGUAGUACCCAAAUUCGACAAAUUCAUCAGGUUCUAUGCCCAUCAAGUAA